CCUACGGGUGGCUGCAGUGAGGAAUAUUGGUCAAUGGACGAGAGUCUGAACCAGCCAAGUAGCGUGAAGGAUGACUGUCCUAUGGGUUGUCAACUUCUUUUAUCAAGGAAUAAAACGACGCACGUGUGCCUUUUUGCAUGUACUUUAUGAAUAAGCAUCGGCUAACUCCGUGCCAGCAGCCGCGGUAAUACGGAGGAUCCGAGCGUUAUCCGGAUUUAUUGGGUUUAAAGGGAGCGUAGGGGGGUUGAUAAGUCAGUGGUUAAAGUUUGCGGCUCAACCGUAAAAUUGCAAUUGAAACUGGCAGUCUUGAGUAGAGUUGAGGUAGGCGGAAUUCGUGGUGUAGCGGUGAAAUGCAUAGAUAUCACGAAGAACCCCGAUUGCGAAGGCAGCUUACUAAACUGUGACUGACAUUGAUGCUCGAAAGUGUGGGUAUCAAACAGGAUUAGAUACCCGAGUAGUC
RNAcentral lists this ribosomal RNA (460 nucleotides) under uncultured bacterium. RNAcentral describes it as "partial 16S ribosomal RNA". It matches the Rfam family "Bacterial small subunit ribosomal RNA", at positions 338 to 795 of the family's 1533-position model. The record is from RNAcentral.